UCUUACGUCACCCGGACGUGGACUCACGCCACGGCCUCGGGGACGUGUGGACUAGCUAGUCCGACCAAUCCACCCAUCCCAACGUCAGCCUAAGCCGUGGUCCGAGCCUCACAGGAGGCGCCCUUAGGAGGACGUUGCCUCCGACCUCUACAUCUAUUUUCUUCGAGCCCUAGGGCUCAUCCCAGGCGGAGCUUCGCGCUUGCCACCCCCCCCGGUGACGCUGUAGCGGCCAGUAGGGCCUACGCAGCAUAGUCAAUCCGAAACAACACGGAGAAAAAUGUGAUUUCUCACACA
Maniola jurtina (meadow brown) is the source of this 294-nucleotide long non-coding RNA. RefSeq lists it as uncharacterized. The record is from RefSeq and is a predicted model, not a curated record. Lineage: Eukaryota; Metazoa; Arthropoda; Insecta; Lepidoptera; Nymphalidae. The transcript is spliced from 3 exons.